Molecule: ribosomal RNA, 264 nt
Filed under: uncultured bacterium
Lineage: Bacteria
Description: partial 16S ribosomal RNA
Rfam family: Bacterial small subunit ribosomal RNA
Source: RNAcentral
UACAGAGGGUGCAAGCGUUGUUCGGAAUUACUGGGCGUAAAGCGCGUGUAGGCUGCAAUGUAAGUCGGAUGUGAAAGCCCUUGGCUUAACCAAGGAAGUGCAUCUGAUACUGCAUCGCUUGAGUGUCGGAGGGGAUGGCGGAAUUCCCGGUGUAGAGGUGAAAUUCGUAGAUAUGGGGAGGAACACCGGUGGCGAAGGCGGCCACCUGGACGGAUACCUGACGGCUGAGACGCGAAAGCGUGGGGAGCAAACAGGAUUGAAGAA